GACUCGCCCCAGCCGGACGCGGACUGGACCAGCGGCCGCCGGGGACCCUCAAACUCUUGUAUUAUCAGCAUCUUCUGAAUACGCCGCAAGGCAAAACAAAUAAAUCAAAACUUUCAACAACGGAUCUCUUGGCUCUGGCAUCGAUGAAGAACGCAGCGAAAUGCGAUAAGUAAUGUGAAUUGCAGAAUCCAGUGAAUCAUCGAAUCUUUGAACGCACAUUGCGCCCGCCAGCAUUCUGGCGGGCAUGCCUGUUCGAGCGUCAUUUCAACCCUCGACCUCCCUUUGGGGAAGUCGGCGUUGGGGACCGGCAGCACACCGCCGGCCCUGAAAUAGAGUGGCGGCCCGUCCGCGGCGACCUCUGCGUAGUAAUCCAACUCGCACCGGAACCCCGACGCGGCCACGCCGUAAAACACCCAACUUCUGAACGUUGACCUCGAAUCAGGUAGGACUACCCGCUGAACUUAAGCAUAUCAAUAA
This 477-nucleotide ribosomal RNA is filed under the name Beauveria brongniartii. Its description in RNAcentral is "eukaryotic LSU rRNA". The stretch from base 109 to 262 matches the Rfam family "5.8S ribosomal RNA". Lineage: Eukaryota; Fungi; Ascomycota; Sordariomycetes; Hypocreales; Cordycipitaceae. The record is from RNAcentral.